ACUUUAAUUAUCCCCUUUCUUCUUUCUUACUAAUUCUUGAUUUUUAUUUUGGUAUUAUUUGAUCAGGAAUCGAAGAGAAAAUCUGGGGCGAUCAAAAAAAGGAACUAUUGGAAAAGGAAUACGGUAAAGGUUUGCUUUAAAAAUUGCUGGAAAAAUUUCCUUUGGUAAUAUCUGAACCUUUCUUAUUUAAAUUGAUUCCCAAUUAGCCUGAAAUAUUGUGGUGAUUGUUUGAUUUUAAUUUCAAUAAAAGUGUGAAUGCAUGCUUGAUACACAUACACCAAUUAAUCCGCACAUAGUAAGGGCAAUCACCCC
Molecule: long non-coding RNA, 312 nt
Filed under: Phoenix dactylifera (date palm)
Lineage: Eukaryota; Viridiplantae; Streptophyta; Magnoliopsida; Arecales; Arecaceae
Description: long non-coding RNA (PDAC_LNC014661)
Source: RNAcentral